UUUCUAUUUGCUUUUGGGUUGAUUUGCAAGUCUGGUGAUGUGUUCUAAUCAUCUAAUUAGCAUGUCAAUAGCAUGUAUUGCUAUGAAAGAGUGAUGGAUUGCAUUUUCUUUUUGGUAAUAGAUGCAUUACAUGUUUCAUUCUUAAUUUAUAUUUAUGUAAUGAGAUAAUUUUGUUUCGUGUCCACUUGUUUUCCACAUUUCCAAUCUUUCGGACUAUGAAACACAAUUCCUACAAUGAAAUCUUUUAUACUCUUCACACAUCUGCAAUUCAGUAUACAAGAAAAGUUUAAGUUAAAAUGAAAUAUUAUUGUUAAUCCCAACUUACUAACAGUUAUUGUCAACAUCUUUGAAAUCAUGCAUCCAAUUAAGAGUAUAACGAGAAUUUAGACAGUUUCAGGGAUGAGACAUCCAUCAAUAUUGGAAGUUGAAGAAUAUUUGAUUUCCUUGACUUGCAGCAAUUUGUUACAUUCUAAACUUUGACAUUACAACUAUGGUUUCUGUAUUGUCUAAGUACAGAAUGCCCUUGUAUGUACCCAUAAUUGGUUGAAUAGUUUUAAAGAUGUUGUACCUCUUGGCAAGUUAUAUUAGUAAGAGAAAUGUUA
This 602-nucleotide long non-coding RNA is filed under the name Medicago truncatula (barrel medic). Its description in RNAcentral is "lncRNA gene5017". Lineage: Eukaryota; Viridiplantae; Streptophyta; Magnoliopsida; Fabales; Fabaceae. The record is from RNAcentral.